GAAGAAUGCCUUUUGGGGUUUUACUCGCUUUGUUUCCUUUCUAGCAAAGCUGGACUUGGUAGCACCCCAGCUAUUCAGAAUUUCUCAGCUAUGUAGAAAAGUUUCACGGGGCAUGGCAAUGGCAUGGCCGCAUGGGAUGGGGGCCUUGUUUUGACUUUUGAGCAACAAAGCUCAGUUCUGACUAGGGGCUGCCGCAGCAGCAGAUACCCCGUUGUUGGGCCUGUUCGCUUCAGCUUAUAAGCCAGCUGAAAAGCCGAAACGGCUGAUUUAUUGUGAGAGAAAAAUAUUGUUUGGUGGCUGAUAAGCCGGCUGAAUAAGCUGAAGCGAACAGGCCCCUUGAUGUUGAGAUGCUUAGCACGCCAAAGCUGCGAAGGCUUCGUGUCAGUCUGCCCCUAACCCACAGUUCUUAGUGGUACAAACUGAGAAAUGACUUGUCCUGCCACUGCCAGAAAAGGAAUGACCUUCCAUUCUUGAAAUACUCACCUCAAGUUAUUUGUACAUGUAGUGUUUGCUGCAAUCUACUGCCUCGUUCCUUGAUGGAUGUUUUCCUUUUUCAAAUUGUGCUGUGCGCUUCCGGUCC
RNAcentral lists this long non-coding RNA (580 nucleotides) under Setaria viridis. RNAcentral describes it as "long non-coding RNA (SVIR_LNC003846)". Lineage: Eukaryota; Viridiplantae; Streptophyta; Magnoliopsida; Poales; Poaceae. The record is from RNAcentral.